GACGUAGGGUGCGAGCGUUGUCCGGAUUUAUUGGGCGUAAAGAGCUCGUAGGCGGCUCGUCGCGUCGACCGUGAAAACCCGCGGCUUAACUGCGGGCUUGCGGUUGAUACGGGCGGGCUAGAGUUCGGUAGGGGAGACUGGAAUUCCUGGUGUAGCGGUGAAAUGCGUAGAUAUCGUUUGGAACGCCAAUGGUGAAAACAGGUUGCUGGGAGUGUGCUGACGCUGAGACACGAAAGCCAGGGGAGCGAACGGG
RNAcentral lists this ribosomal RNA (253 nucleotides) under uncultured bacterium. RNAcentral's name for it is "partial 16S ribosomal RNA". It matches the Rfam family "Bacterial small subunit ribosomal RNA", at positions 524 to 776 of the family's 1533-position model. The record is from RNAcentral.